RNAcentral lists this ribosomal RNA (1545 nucleotides) under Triticum aestivum (bread wheat). Its description in RNAcentral is "partial small subunit ribosomal RNA". Lineage: Eukaryota; Viridiplantae; Streptophyta; Magnoliopsida; Poales; Poaceae. The record is from RNAcentral.
AUGGUGCUCAUUCACAGCUCGUCGUCCUUGCGGUGCUUCUUCGCCUUGCCGUCGGCUGCCGCGCCGGUGACCUUGUCCUUCACCUCCCCAACCUUCUCCUUCACCUUCUCGUACCCCUGGUUGGCCUUAUCCUUGGCCGCCUCCGCCGUCUCCCAGGCCGUGUCCUUGGCCGCCUCCGCCGUCUCCCAUGCGGCGUCCUUGGCCGACGCCGUCUUCUCCAACGUGGCGUCCUUGGCCGCCCCUGCCUUCUCCCCGACCGUUCCCUUGGCCGCCUCGGCGUUCUUCCACGCGGCGUCCUUGGCGGCCGGGGCCUUCUCCGCAGCGGCGUCCUUGACGUUCGCGGCCUUCUCCGACGCGACGUCGUUGUAUUGCUUCAGCUUCUCCUGCGCCUGCCAUGUGGCGUCCUUGGCAGACUCCGUCUUCUCCCAGGCCGCAUCCUUCGUGGCGCGGGCCUUCUCUGCGGCGGCGUCCUUCGCUGCCGCUGCCUUCUCCGCGGCUGUCUGCUUGGCGGCCCCGGCCUUCUCCGCGGCGGCGUCCUUGGCUGCCGCUGCCGUCUGCGUGGCGCCGGCGGCGGCGUCCUUGGCUGCCGCUGCCGUCUGCGUGGCGCCGGCGGCGGCGUCCUUGGCUGCUGCAGCCUUCUCCGCGGCCGUCUGCGUGGCGCCGCCGGCUUUCUCCGCGGCGGCGUCCUUGGCUGCUGCGGCCUUCUCCGCAGCCGUGUCCUUGGCGGCGCCGGCCUUCUCGGCGGCCGCGUCCUUGGUUUGCUUCAGCGUCUCGUACCCCUGUCCAGCCUUUUCCUUGGCCGCCUCCUCAACCUUAGCCUUGCCCUGCUUCGACCGCUCGUGCGUCUCGGCGCCGGUCUUGGCGGCCGCCUCCGCGGCCUCCUUGGUCUUGUGCUUAGCCUGCUCCGUCUUCUUGGACGCCUCGCCGGCCGUGCCCUUCACCGUCUCCGCCGCCUUGUCCUUGGCCUGCCCCGCCUUGUUGGCGGCCCCGGUCGCCGCCUGCUCCGCCGCCUCCUUGGCGUCCGAAGCCUUGCCGCUCGCCUGCCUCCCCGUCUCUGUACACACAAAUCAGCAUCAGACUCCAGUCACUCUGACCACCCAAGAAACCAACAAUGAACACCACGGACACGUACCGGAGGCGGUGUGCUGGACGGUCUCGCGGGCGGACUUGACGGUCUGGCCGGCCUUGCGCGCGGCCUCCUCCUCGUCGGCGUGGUGCUUGAGCCCGAGCCCCUCGGAGAUCUUGUCCAGGCCGAGGCCCUCGGAGAUCUUGUCCUUGGCCCACCCCGUCCAGGACUCUUCCUCCUUGCCCGGCGCCGUCUCCGCGCCGCCCGGCGUCGUCUUGGCCGUGGCCGCCUCAGCGGCUUCCCGCGUCGUCUUGGCCGACGCGGACGCCGCCAACGCGAGCAGCACCAGCAGCGCCGUCGCCGCGAGCCUCUUCGACAACGCCAUUGAUUGGAGUGAUUGUCCCGAGCUAGAACCUAGUGUGGUCAGCUGCUUGUGUGCUUUGCGUGCUCUGAAUGGAGGACUGCGAUGGAAUCAGUAG